This 697-nucleotide ribosomal RNA is filed under the name uncultured bacterium. RNAcentral describes it as "bacterial SSU rRNA". It matches the Rfam family "Bacterial small subunit ribosomal RNA", at positions 62 to 776 of the family's 1533-position model. The record is from RNAcentral.
UCGUGCGCGAACUGUAGCAAUACAGGGAGAGCGGCGAAAGGGAGAGUAAUACAUAGGUACCUACCCCCGGGCCUGGGAUAGCGGCGGGAAACUGCCGGUAAUACCAGAUAACGUCCCCGGACCAAAGAUGUGAUUUCACCUGGGGAGGGGCCUAUGGCCUAUCAGCUUGUUGGCAGGGUAACGGCCUACCAAGGCAAAGACGGGUAUGGGGCGUGAGAGCGUGCCCCCACUCACUGGGACUGAGACACUGCCCAGACACCUACGGGUGGCUGCAGUCGAGAAUCUUCGGCAAUGGGCGCAAGCCUGACCGAGCGACGCCGCGUGCGGGAUGAAGGCCUUCGGGUUGUAAACCGCUGUCGUAGGGGAGGAAGGGCCUGUGAAGAACAGGACUUGACCGAUCCUAGGAGGAAGGGCCGGCUAAUCUCGUGCCAGCAGCCGCGGUAAUACGAGAGGCCCAAACGUUAUUCGGAUUUACUGGGCUUAAAGAGUUCGUAGGCGGCGUGGAAAGUGGGGUGUGAAAGCCCUCGGCUUAACCGAGGAAUUGCGCUCCAAACUACCGCGCUUGAGGAAGAUAGAGGUGAGCAGAACUGAUGGUGGAGCGGUGAAAUGCGUUGAUAUCAUCAGGAAUACCGGAGGCGAAGGCGGCUCACUGGGUCUUUUCUGACGCUGAGGUGUGAAAGCGUGGGGAGCAAACAGG